AUUGAACGCUGGCGGCAGGCCUAACACAUGCAAGUCGAGCGGAUGAAGGGAGCUUGCUCCUGGAUUCAGCGGCGGACGGGUGAGUAAUGCCUAGGAAUCUGCCUGGUAGUGGGGGAUAACGUCCGGAAACGGGCGCUAAUACCGCAUACGUCCUGAGGGAGAAAGUGGGGGAUCUUCGGACCUCACGCUAUCAGAUGAGCCUAGGUCGGAUUAGCUAGUUGGUGGGGUAAAGGCCUACCAAGGCGACGAUCCGUAACUGGUCUGAGAGGAUGAUCAGUCACACUGGAACUGGGAAACGGGUCAGGCUUCUAAGGGAGGCAGCAGGUGGGAAUUUUGGACAAUGGGCGGAAGGCUGAUCCAGCCAAGGCGCGUGUGUGAAGAAGGUCUUCGGAUUGUAAAGGACUUUAAGGUGGGAGGAAGGGCAGUAAGUUAAUACCUUGCUGUUUUGACGUUACCAACAGAAUAAGCACCGGCUAACUUCGU
This 483-nucleotide ribosomal RNA is filed under the name uncultured bacterium. RNAcentral's name for it is "partial 16S ribosomal RNA". It matches the Rfam family "Bacterial small subunit ribosomal RNA", at positions 30 to 506 of the family's 1533-position model. The record is from RNAcentral.